AAACACACACUUUUUUAAUUUUUUGCUGGCACUCUCUCCAAGCGUCUAUAUAUAUAUAUGCUGAGCUACGUACAACUUUUUUUUUUUUUUAUUUUUUUUUAACUUAUUUACACAGCUGGGCCAUUUUACAAUUUACUGGCGCAAUUUAAGGGUUGUGGUGGUCUGGAACCUAUCCCAGAAGCAUAGGGUACAGUUUACCUGAAACACAUGUCUUUGGACUGCUGGAGGAAAACAGGGCACCCAGAGGAAGACCAUGGAGAUUCAGGGAGAACAUGCAAAGCAGACUGAACCCAUGUCUAAGCGCAGAGCCCAGACCCCAUAGGGCACCGGUGCUACUUGCUGUGCCACCUCACUGGCACCGAAACACUGCGCUUGUAAAUGACAGUGGGGCAUGACUACAGGUUAUUUCAACAAGGAGAUUCAGGAAGGUGCCUUGUGCAAGAGUACAGCAUCGCAGUCCUCCAGAGAUUUAUAGCACCCUUCAUGUUAAAAGUCAAUAUCUGUAUGGUAUAAUAUACUGUAUAUGGUCCAAUAAAUACGGUACAGAAGGUGAGGUAAUCCUGUAG
This 566-nucleotide long non-coding RNA is filed under the name Scleropages formosus (Asian bonytongue). RNAcentral's name for it is "lncRNA (ENSSFOG00015030979.1)". The record is from RNAcentral. Lineage: Eukaryota; Metazoa; Chordata; Actinopteri; Osteoglossiformes; Osteoglossidae.